UACCCUAAAUAUGCACCUCUUGUUAUAUCAGGAAUACUUAUUAACAAAGUAACAGGAAAUUAUGUUUUGAAGAGAGCCAUUCUCUAAUGUGAUUUUUAUCCACGCAUCUGCAUAGAUAUUUCUUGCAUCUUCAAGAGCCACAUAGGUCUUGACGGAUUCAUGGGCUGAGGGAGAAGAUCCCCUGGGUUCUUCUUCGGGUUGGCAGUCCUCUUGCACUGGCACAGAGAAUUGUAUUUCCACAGAAGGAUUUCUUGUCAAGUUCCAGAUGUGCUUGAGGAGCGUGCUGAGAGAAAUGGCCUGGUUCAGAAUGGCUGAAUGAGGAUAUGUCAUAUGCAGAAGUGUUACAGGGACUGAAAAUGAGCCAGCUGCUCUCCCCAUCACCCACUCUUGAAGUGCUAGGAUUAUUUCCUCACUAUAAAGAAACUUGCCUGCUUAAUCCUAUUGAACAUACUCAGUCAUCAAUAAAUGUGAAGAAUGUGUCAAAGACCUAGUAAAUUUUAUGGCACCCUUUGCCAUUCAACAAUGGGAAUUCAACUGAAGGUUGUGUGAAGAAUAAAUUAAACCAAGAUGCUCUGGCUUGCUUUUUA
RNAcentral lists this long non-coding RNA (587 nucleotides) under Chrysemys picta bellii (western painted turtle). Its description in RNAcentral is "lncRNA (ENSCPBG00000006932.1)". The record is from RNAcentral. Lineage: Eukaryota; Metazoa; Chordata; Testudines; Emydidae.